GUAACAUGUGGGAAUCUGCCUUGUGGUUCAGGACAACAUUGGGAAACCGAUGCUAAUACUGGAUAAGCCCUUACGGGGAAAGUUUUAAUGCCAUAAGAUGAGCCCGCAUUUGAUUAGUUAGUUGGUGAGGUAAUGGCUCACCAAGACAAUGAUCAAUAGCUGAUCUGAGAGGAUGAUCAGCCACACUGGGACUGAGACACGGCCCAGACUCCUACGGGAGGCAGCAGUGGGGAAUCUUGCACAAUGGAGGAAACUCUGAUGCAGCGAUGCCGCGUGAGUGAAGAAGGCCUUUGGGUUGUAAAGCUCUUUUGUAGGGGAAGAUAAUGACUGUACCCUAAGAAUAAGGUCCGGCUAACUUCGUGCCAGCAGCCGCGGUAAUACGAAGGGACCUAGCGUAGUUCGGAAUUACUGGGCGUAAAGCGCGCGUAGGCCGUUGAGUUAGUUAAUUGUGAAAUCCCAAAGCUUAACUUUGGAACUGCAAUUAAAACUGCUCGACUAGAGUUUGAUAGAGGAAAGCGGAAUACAUAGUGUAGAGGUGAAAUUCGUAGAUAUUAUGUAGAACACCAGUUGCGAAGGCGGCUCUCUGGAUCAACACUGACGCUGAGGCG
RNAcentral lists this ribosomal RNA (608 nucleotides) under uncultured bacterium. Its description in RNAcentral is "bacterial SSU rRNA". It matches the Rfam family "Bacterial small subunit ribosomal RNA", at positions 110 to 753 of the family's 1533-position model. The record is from RNAcentral.